GGUCCAGUAGCUCAGUGGAUAGAGCGGCCGCCUCCUAAGCGGCAGGUCGGCAGUUCGACUCUGCCCUGGAUCA
This 73-nucleotide transfer RNA is filed under the name Spirochaetia bacterium. RNAcentral describes it as "tRNA-Arg". It matches the Rfam family "tRNA". From Rfam's summary of the family: Transfer RNA (tRNA) molecules are approximately 80 nucleotides in length. Lineage: Bacteria; Pseudomonadati; Spirochaetota; Spirochaetia. The record is from RNAcentral.